UCUCAGGGGAGGUUUUUAAAAUUACCCGGAUUUUGAUUAUACUUGUGAAAAGGAAAAAAAAAGAAAAAAAAGAAAAGAAAGAAAAGAAAGACAGAGAGAGAGAGGUAAAAAAAAGGGGAGAGUGAGUCCUGUUAAGGAUUCUGUUGCUUUGGAAAUUCUACUGGCCGUGAAGCUGUCGUGCACCAGAAAAAUAAAUGAACAGUGGACAGUGAAACAAACAAGUACCAAAGCAAAAACGUGGAGAGGAGGAGACUGAGACGAAUAAAAAGGCCUUCGAGUGCAUCACGGAAAGGUAAAGACAUUGGACAUUAGACAGUGCUUGUGUGCAAGCGCAGGUUGCCAGAGAUAUUUUUCUUACGGAAGUGCCCACACAUUCAUUUACUGAUUUACAAUACAAUACAAUACCUCCUCUGCCCCUGCCUCUGCCUCCCUCUGAUAACUUCGUUUGAGUUUCAUACAUUAACACUACAUGACAACUCUUUUCUACAGCGCAUGGACCAUCUCUUUCUCUUGUUUUGCAUGGCCAUAGGUGAUAUUUUCUUGCUUACCCAUGGUGUUGAAAAAGUUUUUCAUUUUAACUCCCUAAUAAUGCAUUUUCAUUCACUUCAUAAUAAUCUUCUUCCCACCCUUUUCUAUUGUUUAAAAGGUAGGGGUUCGUGGGUAAAGUUUUAAUUCAUUUUUUACUUCUUACCUCUCCUCAACGUACUUAACCACCAAUCACCCAUGUAAAUUCUUGUUCAAUAUGAGUUUAAGUUAUGAACAACACAUCCUACUAACAAACUUUAACUUCAGAGUUCAUUCCAUAAUAAAUAUAAAUUUUCAUCUUUAAUAUGCCGGCAUCAAGUCCAUCCUUGAAAGCUAGCUCAAUCUUCUUCUUCUUCUUUUUUUAUGAGAAAGUAAAGUUUUCUAAUUAAUGAACUUUGACAAUAACAUCAUAAUCUGAACUAGCUCAAUCUUUUGAGUUACGUAAGUAUGGCCAAUCUUUUAUAU
RNAcentral lists this long non-coding RNA (990 nucleotides) under Citrus x clementina. RNAcentral's name for it is "Citrus clementina (C. clementina) long non-coding RNA (CCLE_LNC003113)". The record is from RNAcentral. Lineage: Eukaryota; Viridiplantae; Streptophyta; Magnoliopsida; Sapindales; Rutaceae.